This 460-nucleotide ribosomal RNA is filed under the name uncultured bacterium. RNAcentral describes it as "partial 16S ribosomal RNA". It matches the Rfam family "Bacterial small subunit ribosomal RNA", at positions 338 to 795 of the family's 1533-position model. The record is from RNAcentral.
CCUACGUGAGGCAGCAGUGAGGAAUAUUGGUCAAUGUGCGCGAGCCUGAACCAGCCAAGUAGCGUGAAGGAUGACUGCCCUACGGGUUGUAAACUUCUUUUAUAAAGGAAUAAAGUGAGGCACGUGUGCCUUUUUGUAUGUACUUUAUGAAUAAGGAUCGGCUAACUCCGUGCCAGCAGCCGCGGUAAUACGGAGGAUCCGAGCGUUAUCCGGAUUUAUUGGGUUUAAAGGGAGCGUAGAUGGGUUGUUAAGUCAGUUGUGAAAGUUUGCGGCUCAACCGUAAAAUUGCAAUUGAUACUGGCAGUCUUGAGUACAGUUGAGGUAGGCGGAAUUCGUGGUGUAGCGGUGAAAUGCUUAGAUAUCACGAAGAACUCCGAUUGCGAAGGCAGCUUACUAAACUGCCACUGACAUUGAUGCUCGAAAGUGUGGGUAUCAAACAGGAUUAGAUACCCUUGUAGUC